RNAcentral lists this ribosomal RNA (682 nucleotides) under Escherichia coli. RNAcentral's name for it is "bacterial LSU rRNA". It matches the Rfam family "Bacterial large subunit ribosomal RNA", at positions 1 to 716 of the family's 2925-position model. The record is from RNAcentral. Lineage: Bacteria; Pseudomonadati; Pseudomonadota; Gammaproteobacteria; Enterobacterales; Enterobacteriaceae.
GGGUUGUGAGGUUAAGCGACUAAGCGUACACGGUGGAUGCCCUGGCAGUCAGAGGCGAUGAAGGACGUGCUAAUCUGCGAUAAGCGUCGGUAAGGUGAUAUGAACCGUUAUAACCGGCGAUUUCCGAAUGGGGAAACCCAGUGUGUUUCGACACACUAUCAUUAACUGAAUCCAUAGGUUAAUGAGGCGAACCGGGGGAACUGAAACAUCUAAGUACCCCGAGGAAAAGAAAUCAACCGAGAUUCCCCCAGUAGCGGCGAGCGAACGGGGAGGAGCCCAGAGCCUGAAUCAGUGUGUGUGUUAGUGGAAGCGUCUGGAAAGGCGCGCGAUACAGGGUGACAGCCCCGUACACAAAAAUGCACAUACUGUGAGCUCGAUGAGUAGGGCGGGACACGUGGUAUCCUGUCUGAAUAUGGGGGGACCAUCCUCCAAGGCUAAAUACUCCUGACUGACCGAUAGUGAACCAGUACCGUGAGGGAAAGGCGAAAAGAACCCCGGCGAGGGGAGUGAAAAAGAACCUGAAACCGUGUACGUACAAGCAGUGGGAGCACGCUUAGGCGUGUGACUGCGUACCUUUUGUAUAAUGGGUCAGCGACUUAUAUUCUGUAGCAAGGUUAACCGAAUAGGGGAGCCGAAGGGAAACCGAGUCUUAACUGGGCGUUAAGUUGCAGGGUAUAGACCC